This is a long non-coding RNA of Plodia interpunctella (Indianmeal moth), 368 nucleotides long. RefSeq lists it as uncharacterized. The record is from RefSeq and is a predicted model, not a curated record. The transcript is spliced from 2 exons. NCBI's taxonomy places the organism in Eukaryota, Metazoa, Arthropoda, Insecta, Lepidoptera, Pyralidae.
UGACACUACAGAUGUUAACGAUAUGAGCAUUGGUUCUAUAAUAUUAAAUUAUGGAAAUAGUAGAAAAUAAUCUAUUAUACUUAAAACUAAUUAUAUAAUUAUAAAAUACUGUACUUAGUAUAUAUGACAUACAUUUAAAAAUUCGUAACGUAAUUUAAAACUUAAUAAAUCAACAAGAAACUAUAAUUUAUCAAAAUGAAAACUACAUUGAUUAAAUUUCUAAAAUAACUUACAUUGAGAUCAAUAUUUAUACACACUGGAGUAGCGAUACAUGAAUAACAAUAAUACCCAUAAUAGCAUCGAUCAAAUACAGAACGAGAUCCACAAAAUCAAAAAAUGUCCUCGCGACAACACUAUUUCAAAAUAAC